RNA transcript from Larimichthys crocea (large yellow croaker), 2387 nucleotides. It is a transcript of the gene named serine and arginine rich splicing factor 7a, with no coding region annotated. The transcript has 9 exons. NCBI's taxonomy places the organism in Eukaryota, Metazoa, Chordata, Actinopteri, Sciaenidae. The record is from RefSeq and is a predicted model, not a curated record.
CCGGAAGUGAUUGCUUGGCUCGCAGUGCGCAGCUGCGGAUGUGACGCGCGAAGCUGUGCUCGGUGGUGAACCCGGUCAAAGACGGACCGACAUGUGGAGGACUCGUUAAUGUUCGGCCCGCAGUCCGUUUAGCUGACCCAUCUGUGAACCAACCGUCGUUGAUUCGUUAGUUACCGGCGCGGUCCGUCCGGUAGACGGUUUGAAUACCCCCUGAGCGCGAGGCAGAAGCGGAAAGAACCGGAGGAGCGGAAGAAGCAAUGUCGACCUCUCCCAACAGGAAGGGCGAGAUGUCCUACUACUCGUCGUCCCGCAGCUCGUCUCGGGCCACCGACUGCAAGGUCUACGUCGGUGACCUGGGCAACGGUGCUGCCAAGGGGGAGCUGGAGCGAGCGUUCAGUUACUACGGCCCGCUGAGGAGCGUCUGGGUGGCCAGGAACCCGCCCGGGUUCGCCUUCGUGGAGUUCGAGGAUCCCAGAGAUGCAGAGGACGCCGUGAAAGGCAUGGACGGAAAAGUUCUUUGUGGGUCCCGUGUUCGCGUGGAGAUGUCAACAGGCCUCUCCAGGAAAGGCCGCGGGCGCCCCAGUCGACGCCAGUUUGACCCCAAUGAUCGGUGUUACCAGUGUGGGGACCGGGGCCACUAUGCCUACGACUGCUACCGGUUUAGCAAGAGAGGAGGGCGUCGCAGCAGGUCUCGUUCUCGUUCUAGGUCUCGUUCCAGGUCCAGGUCCCGUGGACGCCGUUAUCGCUCUCGCUCCCGCAGCCGCAGCCACAGCAGGAGCCGUCGCCGAUCUCCUUCCUACUCCAGACGCAGGAGCAGGUCCGGCUCCCCGGCCCGCUCCAAGUCCAGGACUCCAGUGCGAAGUCGCUCCAGAUCUCGGUCUCGGUCUGGCUCUGCGCCCAGAGGACGCUCUGCCUCCCGAUCCCGCUCACGAUCUCAGUCCGCUAACCACAAGAGGAACAGCGUGUGGUGGGAGCUGAGCACUGCACUGACACCGCAGCUGAUCCCAGGCCCAGGGUCUGCCAGCUGGCGGUGUGUACGUCCUGCGGGAGGGUGACUAAGCGCUGACCUGAGAUCAGCCUUCGCCUGCAUCUGGUGUUAGACAGCGAGAAAGAGGUCGACCUACCGACCGAACCCUCCCCACAGUGAAUGGGCGACCCGUCUGUUCAACCGACGCACACGCUCAGACGAGAUCAGCCCAUGCACACAUACAGUUGUUCUACUAGAGCGAGCCAGCCAGCCAGCCAGCCAGCCAGCCUUCAGACGUACCAGAGGGCUGACCCACACAGAUCAGAGUGCGACCACUACCUUUUUAAAUCCAUUACCUACCUACCAGACCCCCCUACCUACCAGAGUUCUUCGGCCUCUGUCUUAGCUUCUGAAAGUGAGAGAAAGAGAGCUGACGAGAGAUCAGUCUUCAAGAGCCUCCCAGCGCAGUGUCUCUCCGAGUUGUAGUCAUCCGUCCUUCAGUCCUUUCAUCCUUCGCUUCUCUGUACUUGUUGUUUCUGCCACUGUCUCCAAAGUCGUUCCCGUUCAGCAAGUCCAAACCGAAGCGCAACGCCGGCUGAGGACUGAGUGAAGAAGACUAUUAGUCCCCCCUCUCCCUCACUCCCUCCCCUUGUACCGCUCUCCUUAACAGACAGACCCUGCACCCCGUCAGCUUUUUACAGCCCUACAUCAGCUGUUUUUUGUACUUGUCUGUCUCAUCCCGGCAUUUUUGAAGUUUGAUUUUUCUCCCCAGGACUGUAAUCUUUGUGCAGCCUCAGAUGUAGUCAGUACAGCAGACAUGAAUCAGUUUCCAUUUGAUAGAGUAGAGAUUGUUUUAAAUGUUGCUGCUGCUGCAUGGGUCAUUGUUCUUCUCAGAAGCAACACCUCUGUUGAGGUAAUCCUGAAUGUUGCAGUUGACUUUUAGCAGUGAUGCGGGCGGCUCGUACAGUAAACUGACGUGGAAGACGGCCCGGGUGAAGAACUGCUUUUAUUCCCCAAUCUUUAACCUUUAAAAUAUUUUCCCCAUUGAGAAAUCGGCAAAUGACUUAUUAUUUUGUAACGCUCCAAUUUGAGUUGCAGUGUUUAUCGUCUCUGCGUCAGCGUGAUGAGGAGACGACCUGCAUGACUUUAGACAUGACGUCACAUUCCUACUGUUUGUUGUUUCUGUGCUGCACUGCCCUUUUUACGAACCCGAUCGGCUUCAUUGUGUGCUGACUACAUUGUUUCCCUCCCGCGUGUUGAUUUUUUUUUUCCUGAAUUGUUCCUGUGACUUCUGAUUUUAAACUAUAUUCAGUGCUUCAGUUUGGUUUCUGUAAGGGCUGCUUUAGCAGUUUUGUUCUGUUCCUGACUUCUAUGGUAAGACAGUGGCAGUUUUAUUUUUGAAUAAACCUCUUCAACAACA